GGACUACCAGGGUUUCUAAUCCGUUUUGCUCCCCACGCUUUCGUGCCUCAAUGUCAGUGGCAGAAUAGUCAACUGCCUUCGCCGUUAUUGGUGUUCAUCUAUAUAUCGUCACAUUUUACCGCUCCACAUAGAGUUCCGUCAACUUCUCCUGCACUCUAGUUUGAUAGUAUUAGCGACUUCCACGAGGUUGAGCCUCGAUUUCCCACCGCUAACUUAUUAAACCAUCUACGCACCCUUUACGCCCAAUAAUUCCGGAUAACGUUCGCCACCUAUGUCUUACCGCGGCGGCUGGCAC
This 295-nucleotide ribosomal RNA is filed under the name uncultured bacterium. RNAcentral describes it as "partial 16S ribosomal RNA". The record is from RNAcentral.